GGAGAGGUACCCAAAGCGGCCGAAUGGGGUCCGGCCUUUCGCCGGACGGGCUCUGCCCACGCAGGUUCGAAUCCUGCCCUCUCCGC
Molecule: transfer RNA, 86 nt
Filed under: Streptomyces lavendulae subsp. lavendulae
Lineage: Bacteria; Bacillati; Actinomycetota; Actinomycetes; Kitasatosporales; Streptomycetaceae
Description: tRNA-Lys
Rfam family: tRNA
About the family: Transfer RNA (tRNA) molecules are approximately 80 nucleotides in length. Their secondary structure includes four short double-helical elements and three loops (D, anti-codon, and T loops).
Source: RNAcentral